GCAAGGAAUUCAAUUCCUUCCCUUCUAACGCCAGAAAUUAGGGUAAUUGUUUUUCAGUUACCUACAUUUAUCUUCAACGCUAUUUACUUCAACGUCUGUCAGUUCCUUGCGCCAAAAAUUAAGAUUUACGUUCACCUACUUCUUCUCCGGUGGUUCAUCCGUAACGGAAAAAAUAAACACCACCAUAAUUUUCGGCAAUCAAUCCCAUCGACUCAAACAUGGCUAAUUAACUCUUUACGCUUUACUACAUAAACCUCACAGAAAAACCAUCUCGCGAAUGUUCUCAAUGCCUUUUUUUAGCAAAGAAAAUAUUUUUCGAGAUAAAAUCUUCUGAUUAAGAUUUUCGUUGGCGCAUGGCAUAUUUGCAGAUUUUGAAAACAUCCAUCAGGCAUGUAAAUGUAUCAAGUAUGGGUAAUGUCAAUUGAAUUCCACCUGAUUUGAUUUUUUUUUUUUGGUCAUGUAAUUAGGUCAGGAUGAUGUAGAGGAAUGUAAGAGUCAGUAGAAUCUCUAGGUGUGUUAGAUUAGUGGGUUGACUGUGAUUUUUUUUCAUUAUCAUUUGAUUUAUACUUGAUUUUUCAUAAGAAGGAAAAAUUGUUGUUCAUGUAGGUAGUACCGUUCUCUUAAUCAAAUGCAAACUGUGUAAAUGAUGCAAUGCUAUAUUCACUACUCACCUCACCUAAAAUGUUGUUGAUGCGCAUCAAUCAUCUGAAAAAAAAUUAGAAGAUGCUAUUGAUCUAGAGCAAUGCAUGUAUACUGUGCAGUAAUGCUUAGUAAUUUUAUUUGUUUUUGGAACAUUAGCACCAAACAAAGUCUCUCUGAAUUUGAUUUUAGAAUUAUAUUUUGUCUUUGCUUCGUGACGCCCUUUCUUUUCUGCUGCUAACUGAAAACCAAAGUGUUGGGGUUAAGAGUGAAGGAUUAAGAAGAUGGACAUAUAGUGAGCAUUAUCACCAGCAAUUUCAAGACUAAAAUGCAGAAAGAAGUAUAUCACCAAUGCCAGGAUUACUAAGAAGGAAACAACAACAAAUGGGUGGGGAUGAUUUAUUAAUAAUGCCAAACCAUUGAUAGCAAGAUCUGGAAGUUUAAGACCAGCUGGUGUAACAUUAAUACCAUUAAUAGAAGGACCUGAACUAGAUGGUAAUAUCAGUGAAAAUGAUGAUUCUAAAAGAGAAGGCUGAGGUCAUUGGAUGAGAAGCCAAUUAUCUAGAGUUUAUUAUGUUUCUGCUGCUCGCAACGCGGUAUUUCUCACUGCCUCUCUUUCUUAAAAUCUUUUUUUUUUCUUCAAAUUAUUUGCUGCCUCUUGCAUUUGUUUGCUCAAAAGUCUGAACCCCAAUUGUUAUCUUUGAGGGUUUAUUGGGAUUGGUCUUAUAACCCCUUGAAGCCUUGCGAGUUUAGAGAUUUUAUAGUAAUCUUAUAAAGCUGAGAUUCAUGGGUUUACAUGACCAGAUUGGUUCUACUAUCUAAUGGCCUACAUGACUAGAGGAUUGACAAAUCUUGGUUUCUUGAUUCACUUAUCUUUAUUUUGAUUGCUUAUGUUUUUUUCUCAAAUAUAAAGGGUAAAAUAUGAAUGUAUUUUAAAUAUCCUGAUUUAUGGGUUGUGACCUCUUCCUGAGCAGUCUUUGUAUCUAUAUAAGCAGUCUUUGUAUCUAUACGAAGUACAUGUAUGUGACUUAUAUGGAUUGUUACUAACUCUUUUAGGACUUAUUCAGGUAAAGAUCAUCAGCUUACCACGACUUCACAAGCCGUCCCUUGCUUGAACUAAGAUUCAUGUUUUACCAAUUAAUUUUUGUUUUACUUUGCAUAUUAUUAUUCUUCAGUUUUUUACUAUGUCAAAGUGACUUGCAAGAUUGUCCAAGCUUUAAUGACGAUGGUUUGAGCGAGAUUUUUACGAGGUGGAAAGGCACUUGCAUGGCCCGGGAUGAUUACAAAAAAUCUUACCUUAUUCAGUUUUUUACUAUCUCAACGUGACUUGCAAGACUGUCCAAGCUUUAAUGACGAUGGUUUGAGCGAGAUUUUUACGAGGUGGAAAGGCACUUGCAUGGCCCAGGAUGAUUACAAAAAAUCUUACUUUAGCAGGAAUUUUGUGAUUCAGUGCGGUGACCAACUGGGACCGGAAAAGGAGGUGAAUCCAUUUGGGUAAACCUUUUUCUGAAGAAAUCAACUCGAGAAAUCAACUCGAAAUUGCUUCACUCAGGCUGGGGUGUUGUCAGCAUGGCAAACAGCAACCUGCAUAUCAACGGCUUUGAAUUUUUUAUACCGUGCAAGUCUGCAAAUCAACAGCACUGUAAGCAUCCUGUUUUUGGGGGAGUUGUGGGUGGGUUGACUAUCCUUGCAGUAAUGAAGAAGGUUCAUGUCUUCAUGAUGACAGUGGCUGACAUAUGGUGUCCUGGACUAUCACCUUUAUAAAUGGAUAGGAUAUGCAGUAGUCUUACCAUGAAGGCGUGAAGUAAAUGCAUCUUUGCCAUCAUGUUACCAAGGGACCGUGACAGUUGGAAGUGGCUCAGUCCUCCUGUUUAGCACUAAGAUUUUGUAGGUUUUUUGGCUUUGAUGAUUUCCGGGGCACUACAAAUUGAAAAUAUGUUUAGACUCCUCGCUUAUGCUAUUACAGUCUGUAAUUAUUAAACUUUCAGAUGGAAGAAAGCUAUUUGUAGAAACCAUCAUAUUAAAUGCAUCAUCGACCCUUAAAGUACCUUCAUUUCUUUCCA
Molecule: long non-coding RNA, 2702 nt
Organism: Papaver somniferum (opium poppy)
Lineage: Eukaryota; Viridiplantae; Streptophyta; Magnoliopsida; Ranunculales; Papaveraceae
Exons: 4
Source: RefSeq, a predicted model, not a curated record